RNAcentral lists this ribosomal RNA (472 nucleotides) under uncultured bacterium. RNAcentral describes it as "partial 16S ribosomal RNA". It matches the Rfam family "Bacterial small subunit ribosomal RNA", at positions 28 to 507 of the family's 1533-position model. The record is from RNAcentral.
GACGAACGCUGGCGGCGUGCUUAACACAUGCAAGUCGAACGCUGAAGCUUGGUGCUUGCACUGGGUGGAUGAGUGGCGAACGGGUGAGUAAUACGUGAGUAACCUGCCCUUGACUCUGGGAUAAGCCUGGGAAACUGGGUCUAAUACUGGAUAUGACAUGCCACUGCAUGGUGGUGUUUGGAAAGGGUUUUACUGGUUUUGGAUGGGCUCACGGCCUAUCGGCUUGUUGGUUGGGUAAUGGCCUACCAAGGCGACGACGGGUAGCCGGCCUGAGAGGGUGACCGGCCACACUGGGACUGAGACACGGCCCAGACUCCUACGGGAGGCAGCAGUGGGGAAUAUUGCACAAUGGGCGGAAGGCUGAUGCAGCGACGCCGCGUGGGGGAUGACGGCCUUCGGGUUGUAAACCUCUUUCAGCACGGAAGAAGCGAGAGUGACGGUACGUGCAGAAGAAGCGCCGGCUAACUACGUG